AUCAAAAAUUUCAUAUUGUAAAGCCGUUUUUUUAUUACUCACUACAAGAAAAAUGGCUUUAGUUAGCGGCCAAAAAACUCUAUCUAACGAUACGAUAGCGGUUUAUGAAGUGAUGUAUCAUCGCCCGUGUUAGUAGGUAAGACACAUUAGAUAGCGGUUUUUGUACUGCUAUUUUAUUAUCAUAUACAAUAGCGUUUGUAUGUUUGCAAUUACAUAUUUUUUAAUAGCAUAUAAUUUUUGUUAUUAUUUAUAUUAUUAUAAAAAAACAAAAAUACAAUUCGAAAAAUACAAUUAAAUAAUAUAAUUUAUUAAUUUUCAUUUACAAAAUAACUGAAUUUGGUUUAUAAAUUAAAAUCGUUUUACAAAAUUAACUAAAUUAAAAAAAACUAAACCUAAAAAAAUUCCACAGUUCACACCUAAACCUAAUUUGGUUGUUCUCCAACGAGCCGCCAUGGGACUUUUGACGGAAAGCAAAGCAGUCUUCAGCGAGGACGUGAUGUAGGGUUGUCGCAGAGGAGGACCCAUCUCCGGCUAGUUGUUGAGGAGAGGAGCAGAGGAAGCGUAUUUGAGAGGAGGAGAGGCCGCACACAGAGGAAGAGAGACUUGUAGCAGAGCGGUCACAAAGUAGAGGAGCAGAGUUGUCACGAAGCAGGGGGGAGGCGUCACUUCUUCACGGAACAGAGGAGGAGGCGUUACGGUUAAGUCUUAGCCACCACAGAACUAAAAGAUAGAGAGAUAAUAGAGUAGAUGGGAUGCUCCUCCUCUGUCGUUGAGGGAGACAUAUCAGAAGAUAGCGACAGCAGAGAUGUAGAGCUCGCGACAGGUCGAGAUCCGUGACGGGAAGACGUUGGCAAGCUUGAGCAGAGGUGGAGAAGAGAUGCGAUAUAGAGAAGAAUAUGAGAGGUUGGCGGCAGAUGGAAACAAAAGAGACAAGAGAGAGAGAGAGAGAGAGAGAGAGAGAGAGAGAGGAAGACACACAUAUUGACUUUGAUGAGAUUGUAGAGAAGAAAAAAGAUGUGCAUAGAGAGAUGAUGUCAUAGUAGUGAAGAAGACAAAGAUUAAAAAAUUGUUUCAGAUCUGAAAUUAAAAAAGAAUAAAAGAAAUUAAAAAGAAUACUGAAUUGUGGUCUGAUUGUAUAAAAAAGAGGCGAGAGAGAAGAAGAAACACAGAUGAAUGAAUCUGAACCAUUGAAUAAAUUUAAUCAAUGGUCUACACUUUGUAAUCCACACACUUUUUGUUUCAGCCAAUGAAAAAAUAGAAGGAGGAUUACUAUGGAAGAGUUGUUAACACAAAUGGUCAUUUUAUGUUUUUUAUUUACACUGGAGAGUACAUUGUGCUACACAGACACUUUUAUGUGGUUGAAGACCAAAUUAUCCUCUGAAAAGCAAAACAAGGAUUGGUAUUUAAGUAAAACGAUGUUCAAUGCUAGUUAGGUUGAGAAAAGGCUGGUUACAGAUUUUGAAUUUUGAAUAAAGCAGCGAUUAGUUGGUGGACCCCAUAGGAUGUUAAAUCCAGUUGAUAAAUUAUUUCUUGAGCCCGUAAAAGGCAAAUAAUUUUUUUUUUAUCUGUAAAAAAUUAAAAGUGACAGUUUCAGCGAGAGAGAAUGACGGAGAAAAAAAAGACAAAUGACGAAAUCAAAAUCGACGGCGGCCUAUGUAUGCAUGCGUAAUCGACGAUGACGACGAAGAAGAAGCGCUCAGGAAAGGAGAAAGCAAAAGAGGUAGCGACGACGGUUGAGGAAGAGGUGAAUGAUAGGAUACCAACCCGUUUGUUUGCGGCGGUCUGGUUUCCGAGUAGGAGGCUUAACUGCUACUCAUCGUUGGAGUACCUUCUGCUGGUGAGGGGUGUGCUUGAAGGUAGUGAAGAGGCAGAGAGGUUAAAGAUGGUAUGUAAUCGAGGACGAGGCAGCAACAAAGAAGGCGGAGGUGUUAGAGGCUGAGUAUGAUAUUCAGCUGACUGUGCAACCUAUGAUGGAGUGUGGGGAGGAGAAGGAGGAUGGUUGGGAAAAAUUUAACAGUGAGAAAUUUUGAUCGUCAAUAAGGCUGGACACAGAUUUUUAAUAUCUAUGCGAUGUAGACAGAUGUUAAGGUUACAUUUAUUUUUGAUGUUUAACUAUGCACUGAAGGUCUAAGUGAAUUUUUUAAGUGGGUGUGCGGAUAUAAAGAUGUACAAUUGAAUCUCAUAAAUAUGUUCGUAAAGUAUGAGAAAAUAACUGGUUGUA
This is a long non-coding RNA of Brassica napus (rape), 2221 nucleotides long. RefSeq lists it as uncharacterized. Lineage: Eukaryota; Viridiplantae; Streptophyta; Magnoliopsida; Brassicales; Brassicaceae. The transcript is spliced from 3 exons. The record is from RefSeq and is a predicted model, not a curated record.